Nothobranchius furzeri (turquoise killifish) is the source of this 5451-nucleotide non-coding RNA. NCBI's taxonomy places the organism in Eukaryota, Metazoa, Chordata, Actinopteri, Cyprinodontiformes, Nothobranchiidae. The record is from RefSeq and is a predicted model, not a curated record.
UUAAACAAUGAGCAGUGUUUUGUGAUUUUUUUUAAAUAAUUUGUUAGUCCUUCAAGCGUAAAACUGGUUAAAUGCAAAUACUGUAAGAAAAAAAGUCUAAGUAAGGGAAAAACAAACAUCUCAGUCGCCAGACUGUGUGGGACUGUGGAACAGUCCGGUCCAGAAUUUCAGUUACCGGGCGCCAUUUUGACUUCUUCGACUUGGUUUAACCAGCCACGGUUCUCGUCAUCACUGUAACAACUACGUCAGCGAGUGUUUCUGUUUUAACCGUGGCAUAAAUAUGGUUUGCCAUAAUAGAAAAUUACGCGGCUGGCGAUUAUGGCAUAUUCUGACCGGGAAUCAGGACUAAUUUGUUCAUUUCUCCAGCAUCACGACAGAGAUGACUUUAAUGAGGUGAGGAGGAAGCUCCCUCUUGCUGAGGAGCAGACAGACCUCCAGUCUGAGGCGGAAGCCAUUGAAAGGCCUCAAAGAAGAAGAAUUAAGCCAAGUAAAUGUCCAGGACCAGGCCUCAUCAGAGGAUGAAGCCCAGACCCCUGGAAGAGGGCUUCCCCCACCCCCAGCCAUCCCCCCGGUGAGGAGAAGGUUCAUCCUCCCCAAUAACCUGUACCUCUGCCUGACCUGACCAAUUACCAGCAUGUCAUGACGCUGUGGACAUCAUUGCGGCAGGCGAUUGACCUGCAGGGUCACCAGGGAACCCAGGGGGUUCCAGUUCCAACUCCCUCUUCAUCUGGUGGGAUGAUGAGGGAGGAAUCGGCUCUCCAGGUGCCUACUGUUUGCCCUAACUCCUCUCCAGGGCAGUGGCAGCAGAGGGACAACACGACAUGUAAGGUUUUUAUGGUUUACACUCACCCAGUCCUCACAUGCCAGUUACAGUAUACGAACACACAUGAUCCACGCAUACAUACUAAUAUAAGAUGGUUUAUAAAGUUAAACACACACAUAGGCAAGGCAGGGCAAGGUGAAGUUCAUAGGCGGCGAUCCCAGGGGGGACACAAAGUUGUCCCCCCCACAAAAGUUAUUGUAAACACAUAAAUGCUAUCAGUAAACCUGUAUUGUCUUCUAAAACCACAACGUAAAAGUUAGUCUGCAAAUACAAAACAAUGUGUUUUUAAUUGUUGAGAAAUUAUAGUUCCCCCACCCUCCCCAAUUCCUCAAGUUGGUACGGUCGGUCCACACAUGCUGUUUCCAACGGGCGGGGCUGCCGGCUCUGCCCAGCUCACAGCUUCACAGCAGCCCGCCGGCUCACAGGAGGCAGGAAUCAAAAAGCCAGCGGUUUCCAGCAGUAGGUCAUUUAUCACACGCUUGUUCUACAAACUUAAAUAUGUAUGUCAGAUGUGGUCAUAAAUGUCAAACAUAGACACCGAUUAUCUUUAGAUUUUGAUCACCGGUCAGAGAUCCCUUUAUGACAGACCACCGCCACCACAGUAAAAAAAAAAAGUUGUCACUUCAUGUUCUCUGGUCAUUCCAGGAUUAUUCCACUAUUAUUAUUUCAUUCACUAAGGCACAUAUUUCAGAGUCAAGGCCCACGGGCCAGAUGCGGCCCGCGGAGCAUUUUUAUGUGGCCCGCGAGAUAAAUAUCAAAAAUAUAUUAAAACUGGCCCGCUGGCCGAUUUUACCGCAAAGACUACAACUCCCACGAUGCUUUGCGGCGCCAGCGCAGAGCAGACGCGCCCCCUCCUUUGUGUUUUUUCAGCGACGAGGCAGUCAGAGGUAGUUGGGUGUCUGCAGCUCCGCUGUCUCGGACAAACUACACUCCUCUCACUCAGCGCCGAGUUCACUCCGCUCGUUUUCUGACGUUGAAGCCCAGAAACAGAGAUUCUAGCCGCUCAGUAAUGUGUUCACGACUUAAAGAGAAAGUUUUCAAACUAACUUCCAGACAGAGCUGAUAUAACUCCAGCGAGCAGCGACACGCUCAAACCAGCACGACUCUGUGGCUGCUGUCAUCUUUCCUCCCCGACACACAACAACGUGGUCAAGCUGCUCAGACAUGUUCAUCAGCACAGACCUAUGAGAGCACCUGUUGACAUCUAAUGUUGUCAUUAUUAUGAUGAAGAUAAACAAAACAACAGGAGUCUCCUCCUCAGCUCAGGUCAGCCCCAUGAUGCAGGUAUCUGGCUGGAACAGGUGAGCAUCACAGUAAACCAGUGGAACAAACUGAGCUUUAAAUAUGCUGGUUUUCUGCUCUUUUUCAGCUCCAAAACAUGAAAGUUAACAGGUGAGAUGUUGCAUUUUCAUUUAAGAUAAAAUGAUAUUUUUAUUUUGUUGUUGGCACGUGAGCAAAGAUUUAACCUACAGUAAACAGGAAGUGGAAAGGCUGCAGAUAGAUGAAUAGAAUAGAAAAUCCCUUUAUUGUUCCUCAGUGGGGAAAGCUAGACGUCACAGCAGCGAUGACACGUAUUACAGGAGAAAAAAAGAGAAUAAAAAAUAAGAAAAAUGAAUAAACAAGAAAACAUAAAUCCUGAAUAGAUUUUAAAAAUGCUGAUUAUACCACAAGUAAUGAAUACCACUGAUGCCUUUUAUUUAAAACUGACUUGCUCGUGUGUAAUUUGGUUAUUCCACAUUCAGUGUUAAUGCAGAAAUAUGUUUGUUUCCAAAUUUAACGGUUCAAAAUUGCAUAUAUGUUGAUAAAGAAAAUGUGCAAAUUUGCCGUCACUUUUUCAAAAAAUAUUAAGUUUGGCCCUCGACUCCGUCCCAGUGUUUCAUUUCGGCCCCUUGUGAGUUUGAGUUUGACACCCCUGCACUAAGGUGAUCAAAAGUUCCUUUCUCCGGACACGUACGCUUUCACGGUCUUCCCCUGGAAUCUGCGGAGCAUUUAUAGAUCGAUGAAAAUGUCCGCGUUUCAUCCUAUUUAGCAGAUGAAUAUGGUAGAAUCAAAAUUAACUGGUCUGAUGUAUGGAAUACCACAGCGUUUAACCGCUCUUAUCACGUCUUCCCCAGGCUCUGCAGUUGUUUACAAUAUGUCAAAGUGCAGGUGCACCGUGCAGCUUAGAGAUGAACUGGUUGCAGCAAAUGUGUGGCGGAGGCCAGGGCGGGACUGGGACAAAAAUUCAGCCCGGGCAUUUUGACUGGAGACCGGCCCAUCACCUGGUUUUUGUGGAAAACACAUUAAGCCUUACGCUGUUUUUGACACACACCAACGUACACUUUCUUGUUGGUAAUAUUUAUGUGUCAAUCUAAUAAACGUAAACCUACACCAUCCGUCCUAUCCUGGUAUUCUAAAAAGUACUUAGUAAAAAGGAAAAAAGACCACUUGAUUAAGGCAACACCCCAAACAAUCUCUUAACACUUGGUAGAAACCUGACAUUUAAACAGAGAACUAUUAAUCAAUAAUGAAUAUUAAUAUAAAAAAAGACAUUUGUGGAAAUUUUCAUAAACUGUUUUAUCACCACACCAACUAGGAAAUACUUUUACAAUACAUUUAAAAAAGAAAGGAGACAGAGAAAGGUGAGAUAAAAUAACUUAACUGACCAUUUGAGGUCUUUUUAGAGAUCGUACUGGUGCAGUAUCUAGAAAAUGUGGGGAAAAUGCUGCCAUCGUAUACAGUAUUCACUUCUGUAACUAUUUGUUAAUAUGUUGUUAAUACGAGUUGCAGUAUUUAUAGCUAUCCUGUUAGGGUGUGUAAUUGUUGGACGGAAUCUUUAACAAAACACAUAAUUAAUAAAUUAUUUGUGUAUGAUUGUGUGCAUUUAGAAUAUCUAUAUUAAAGUCUCCACAAACACUAACUUAUGAUUAUUUGUAUUUAAUUCUACUGUACAUUUCUUUAAAUUUGUUCUGAAAAAUAAUUCAUUAUUAAUAAUUAAUUAUUAGAGGUGGGAAAAAUGAUCGAUUCUAAGAUGCAUCGCGAUUCAGCCGUGCACGAUUCCGCAUCGAUGCAGCAACGUGACAUAAUGAGAUUCUCUCCCUAUGUCUAUGUUGGGGGUCGGCAACCGCGGCUCUGGAGCCGCAUGCGGCUCUUCCAUCCAUCUGAUGCGGCUCUCUGUACUUAUAAAAUAAUGAAUGGAUAUUUAAAUAAAAAGUUUUAUAUUUUACUGCAUUAAUUUUACAUCUGUAUGCCAAUUCUAAAUGUAAAGAUCGUCUGCGUAAACCUGAACAGCUCCAACCCGGUCUUACUGUGAGACCGGGUUGACGCGUCACGCUUGUGCGUAAUCAUAAAGGCGCAUUCUGAGCUGACGAGGACGUGAGAUUCUGGGAUUCUCCUCAGGUCCUGGAUGUGUCGCCACAUUGGAGACAGGAACAAGCGCUAUUCAGCCAAAGUUUCAUAAUCAGGGAACAUUUUCUAAGUGACAAGUCUCGCUUCAGUUGGAGGAAUCUUCCUGCCCUUUGGUUCUGCGACGUGCUCCAAGCCCCUCUCCACAACUUCAGCUCGCUGUGCGCCGUACGUACGCACUGACAGCGAGCUGCGCUGAGCUCAGUGUCAAGCUCAGAUGGGAAUAAUUUCUUAAGUUAUUUAGCGACAUCUGCGCGAAACGAAUAAAGUGUCAGUUCGUCUGCUUGCGUCGGGGUAGUUCUUUCUAUUCUUUCUCCGUCAAAAUAAACGGUUAAAUACGGGAACUAUCCGGUCAACACAACACAAGCCCUGCUUUUAACUGUUCUGUUUUCUUGUGAAAAUUGUUGCAAAGAGAUAUAAUUAAACUUGAUUAACACCAGAGCCAGGCGCACUGCACCGUUAUCUCCGUCACUGUAAAUGAGGGAAAAACAAAUUGAUCGGAUCCUUUUCUGACCUUCCCCACCUACAAAGUUUAAUUACAACAAUCAAACAUGACAGAGCCUGGAUUUGUAUUCUGAACAGUCUAAACAUGUUUUAAAAAGAAACGUAUGACAAAAGUGGCACCUGCUCAGUAAAACCACCAACAGGGUGAAAAAUAUCAAAAUAUUGUAGACAGAGACGGGCUACAGCUUCUGGAUCAACUUUAUAUAAAUCAUUUUAUUGAUUAUCGUCUUAUGAAAGAUAACUUUGAUGUACACGAGCGACCGGUACUGGCUGCUGUCACCUGUUGUGAGCCAACACAAUAGCGCUCUGCUGUCUGAGGGUAGGCCCCGCCCACAACGCCGCGGCUGCUGCAGUGUUUUCUUUACUGUGGGAAACGGGUAAUAAUGGAUCUUUGAUGGGAACAGGUUGCCGACCCCUGGUCUAUGUCUAUGCGAGGACAAUAAAGUUUUGAGGUUUUACAAUUACUUCUGGGGGCAGAGUUGCAAUGACAUGCGCACUGCGUUGUCCUAGAAGCAAUUGGACAGGGAUACAGGGCCAACAUUACCAGUAAUCAAAGAUGUACCCGUUACAUUUAAAUCGGAUGUCUGGGCUAAUUUCGGUUUUGGGAUCCUGGGUGUGAAAGAAUCACUUAACACAGUAUUUGUUUACUAUUUUUAAGUUCAGUAAUAUUCAAUCUUAAAGCUGCUCUACCGAAAACAUUAUUUCUUAUAUUAUUUAAGUAAUUAUAGGCAGCACACUUU